Molecule: ribosomal RNA, 429 nt
Filed under: Chloroflexota bacterium
Lineage: Bacteria; Bacillati; Chloroflexota
Description: Chloroflexi bacterium partial 16S ribosomal RNA
Rfam family: Bacterial small subunit ribosomal RNA
Source: RNAcentral
UAGGGAAUCUUCGGCAAUGGACGAAAGUCUGACCGAGCAACGCCGCGUGAGUGAAGAAGGUUUUCGGAUCGUAAAACUCUGUUGUUAGAGAAGAACAAGGACGUUAGUAACUGAACGUCCCCUGACGGUAUCUAACCAAAAAGCCACGGCUAACUACGUGCCAGCAGCCGCGGUAAUACGUAGGUGGCAAGCGUUGUCCGGAUUUAUUGGGCGUAAAGCGAGCGCAGGCGGUUUGUUAAGUCAGAUGUGAAAUCCCCGGGCUCAACCUGGGAACUGCAUCUGAUACUGGCAAGCUUGAGUCUCGUAGAGGGGGGUAGAAUUCCAGGUGUAGCGGUGAAAUGCGUAGAGAUCUGGAGGAAUACCGGUGGCGAAGGCGGCCCCCUGGACGAAGACUGACGCUCAGGUGCGAAAGCGUGGGGAGCAAACAGG